UGCCAAUUAGGUUUAAGGACACAGAGUUGACAGUUUAUGAUGGACAUGAGAGUCUCUCUCCAGAGUACCGGCCUUUGCCCUGCCCAUUGAGCCAAUACUAAACCCAUGGGGGAAUACUAAGAGUGCACACUGACAUGGGGGCAGUAGGGACACAGGGCUUGCUGGCUCAGAGGGGCAGUAGGGGCACAAUACACAGGGAUACAGGGCUUGCUGGCUCAGAGGGGCACAAUACGCACAGGGAUACAGUGUUUGCUGGCUCAGAGGGGCAGUAGGGGCA
Xenopus tropicalis (tropical clawed frog) is the source of this 277-nucleotide long non-coding RNA. RefSeq lists it as uncharacterized. The transcript is spliced from 2 exons. NCBI's taxonomy places the organism in Eukaryota, Metazoa, Chordata, Amphibia, Anura, Pipidae. The record is from RefSeq and is a predicted model, not a curated record.